Molecule: non-coding RNA, 135 nt
Organism: Hordeum vulgare subsp. vulgare (domesticated barley)
Lineage: Eukaryota; Viridiplantae; Streptophyta; Magnoliopsida; Poales; Poaceae
Source: Rfam
AACAUACACCCUCCGUCCCAAAAUUCUUGUCUUAAAUUUAUCUAGACACAAAUGUACGUGACACUUAAAUGUGACUAGAUACAUUUGUAUCGAGACAAAUCUAAGACAAGAAUUUUGGGUUGGUGGGAGUAUAUA